AGGCUAUGCUUUGGACUGGCAACGGUCCGAAGCUUUUAGCCGAACUAUGGCAAACUACUCCAUUUAGAGGAAGAAUAAGUCGUAACAAGGUUUCCGUAGGUGAACCUGCGGAAGGAUCAUUAAAAAGUUGUGGAAAUCGUGGUGACCUCUAUUGGUGAGCCGCGAUUCUCUCCUUUUUGUGAAAUGUUCUGAGGGAUUGCCCUAGAUCUCUCGACCUUUUAUUUUACAUAUUUGAUUGACUGUUGUUUAACAAAUUGAAAGUUUUGGAUCAGAAAUGAUUCAAGACGAUAAAAUUUCAAAACAACUUUAAGCAAUGGAUCACUUGGUUCUCGCAUCGAUGAAGAGCGUAGCAAAUUGCGAAAAGUAAUGCGAUCUGCAGCCUUUGCGAAUCAUCGAAUUCUCGAACGCACCUGCUACCCUUUGGUUCAUCCAUUGGGUACGUCUAGUUCAGUAUCUUUAUUAACCCCUAAAGGUUUAUUUUUUGAUAAAUCUUUGGAUUUGCGGUGCUGAUGGAUUUUCAUCCGUUCAAGCUACCCGAACAAUUUGUAUGUUGUUGACCCUUGAUAUUUCCUUGAGGGCUUGCAUUGGUAUCUAAUUUUUUACCAGUGUGCUUCGAGAUGAUCAAGUAUAAAGGUCAAUCAACCACAAAUAAAUUUCAACUAUGGAUCUGAACUUAGAUGGGAUUACCCGCUGAACUUAAGCAUAUCAAUAAGCGGAGGAAAAGAAAAUAACAAUGAUACCCUUAGUAGCGGCGAGCGAAGUGGGUAAAGCUCAAGUUUAAAACCUGUUUGUCCUAGACAAACCGGAUUGUAAACUAAGGACGUGCUAUCCAGGCUCUUUGGACCUUCAAGUCCUUGGAAUAAGGCUUCACAGAGGGUGACAAUCCCGUAGAGGUCUAACGUUCUUUCU
RNAcentral lists this ribosomal RNA (909 nucleotides) under Rhizomucor miehei. Its description in RNAcentral is "eukaryotic LSU rRNA". The stretch from base 664 to 909 matches the Rfam family "Eukaryotic large subunit ribosomal RNA", at positions 1 to 245 of the family's 3401-position model. The record is from RNAcentral. Lineage: Eukaryota; Fungi; Mucoromycota; Mucoromycetes; Mucorales; Lichtheimiaceae.